AACUCUCAAACCGAAUCUUAAUUGAUGUCGGGUUUGGAUUUGGACGUUGCUGGACGUGAGUUCGGCUCGUCUUGAACGCAUUAGCUGACGAUUUCGACUUCAGUUAAACCGUGUGAUAAUACAUCAACGCGGGCAGCCGUAAGGCGCUGGGUCGUCUAUCGAAGGCUUCUAAUUGUCCCUUCAAGGACUGUCCUUUGGGCAUUUCAUUUCAC
This 212-nucleotide unclassified non-coding RNA is filed under the name uncultured Tremellodendropsidales. RNAcentral's name for it is "sequence contains ITS2". The record is from RNAcentral. Lineage: Eukaryota; Fungi; Basidiomycota; Agaricomycetes; Tremellodendropsidales.